GACCCUUAAAACCCAAAGGACUUGACGGUGUCCCACCCACCUAGAGGAGCCUGUUCUAUAAUCGACACCCCACGAUUUACCUUACCACCCCUAGCACACUCAGUUUGUAUACCUCCGUCGCAAGCUUACCAUGUGAACGCCACUAGUGAGCUAAAAGAUUCUUUCACCCCUACGUCAGGUCAAGGUGCAACUAACGGAGCGGAAAGCAAUGGGCUACAAUUUCUACAAUAGAACACACGAAAAACUGAAUGAAACACAGUCACGAAGGCGGAUUUAGAAGUAAAAAGAAAUUAGAAAAUUCUCUUUAACUAGGCCCUGGGACGCGUACACACCGCCCGUCACCCUCCUCAAUAUACCCCACCAAGAGGAGGCAAGUCGUAACAUGGUAAGUGUACUGGAAAGUGCACUUGGACAAUCAAAAUGUAGCUUAAUUAAAGCAUCUUGCUUACACCAAGAUAGAAGUCAAUUAUUCUUGACCAUUUUGAGCUUAAACCUCAGCCCACCCC
This 506-nucleotide ribosomal RNA is filed under the name Stumpffia yanniki. RNAcentral's name for it is "partial 12S ribosomal RNA". The stretch from base 1 to 423 matches the Rfam family "Bacterial small subunit ribosomal RNA", at positions 889 to 1533 of the family's 1533-position model. Lineage: Eukaryota; Metazoa; Chordata; Amphibia; Anura; Microhylidae. The record is from RNAcentral.